Molecule: ribosomal RNA, 406 nt
Filed under: uncultured bacterium
Lineage: Bacteria
Description: partial 16S ribosomal RNA
Rfam family: Bacterial small subunit ribosomal RNA
Source: RNAcentral
AUUGAACGCUGGCGGCAGGCCUAACACAUGCAAGUCGAACGAGUGGCGGACGGGUGAGUAAUGUCUGGAAAACUGCCUGAUGGAGGGGGAUCAAUAGUGGAAAACGUCUCUUAUACCGCAAUCUCUCAUCUGUGCCUAGAUGGGAUUAGCGUGUUGGGGGGGUAUCGGCUCAUCAAGGCGACGAUCCCUAGCUGGUCUGAGAGGAAGACCAGCCACACUGGAACUGAGACACGGUCCAGACUCCUACGGGAGGCAGCAGUGGGGAAUAUUGCACAAUGGGCGAAAGCCUGAUGCAGCCAUGCCGCGUGUAUGAAGAAGGCCUUCGGGUUGUAAAGUACGUUCAGCGGGGAGGCGUUACCCGCAGAAGAAGCACCGGCUAACUCCGUGCCAGCAGCCGCGGUAAUAC